Poecilia latipinna (sailfin molly) is the source of this 4270-nucleotide long non-coding RNA. RefSeq lists it as uncharacterized. Lineage: Eukaryota; Metazoa; Chordata; Actinopteri; Cyprinodontiformes; Poeciliidae. The transcript is spliced from 5 exons. The record is from RefSeq and is a predicted model, not a curated record.
GGAUGGCAAUCUAUAAGAUUAAACCUACCUGGCUAGAAAAAAGAAACUUCAAUUAUGGGCUAUCCUGUGUGUUUUCGAGUUCCUCUAGUCCCUGUAAGUUCCCAGAGAGCCUAAAAGAGGAUUUAAAAUGGAUUGAUGUAACUCCUUCAGCAAUAGAUGACUCUCUUUGGAGCCUUGCCAAGUGAUUAUCUAUGAGUCACUUAUAGAAAAAUGUCUGCAAUGACAACCUUGUGUAUUGUCUGCCACUGUUAUUUCUGACUUCUUGAAGCAAAGUGGAUAAUAUGGGCUUAUAUUACACAAACAAAGCAUAUGUUCACUAUCUACACAUUGUUGUUGCUGCCUUGUCUGCUACACUCUUGUUUGCAUUUGUCCUAAAGGAAGAUUUCCGUUGCUAUUUUCAUAAUAUCACAUUCUUUUGUGAACAUGGCCAAAAUUCUGUGCAAGCCAUGCCAGUGAUUAUGAAAGUAGCGUAGACAGUACUGGAACUGUCUACGCAACAGCAUAGCGCUGUCUAUGCUAAUUAAACUAAACCGACAGACAGAUCUCUCUGACAAAUAUGGUCAAAACGUCGUCUCAAACACGACACAGCUGAUCAGCAUCAUCCUAACAUAACCAGGUUAGUACGAUUUCAGUUUUAUUUGUUUUGGUGACACAGGGUGAAACAUUAACUUUAGGCUUAGACAAACAGACUACACACUCUGAGAAGUCAUGCAGUAACACACGUUACUCGCCACAUAGCAUUUUCUCAAACCUUUGUGGAGGUGAAUGCUGUUCAGCACCGUCUCCACCUGGUGUUUUAGAAGUCAAUCUGAUUGAGAUUUAAGGACAUAAAACAACAACUUCCUGAGUGUAAUAGGAUGACUUUCACCUCACUGUGACCUGAGGUGAUUCUUCUGAAAGUUCAUGGAAGAGAGAUGGGGGCCGAACGACCACAACUGAGAGACACCAUGCCUUCAAGGACGGGUUAUGGCUUAUAGCAGACUGCUGCUGCUGCUGCUGAUAGGAGCGACUGUCACCCACCUACCUCAAGUAAGCGCAAGACCGAUUGCCUUCUGGUAUAACACUGAGACUAUGGAGCACCUGGUGAUGAGUUUCAAACGUGAGGGUAACUGCUCUGACACCCUGCUCUCCACUGUAGAUGUGCCAAUAGUGGGGGUGAAUUCGCAAAAAUAUUUAAAUUACACAUUUCAGGAAAAAUUGUCUGACGUGCUGCAGAACUUCCAGGCAUUCCAAGAAACCAUCAAACAUCUUCGUAAUCAAACCAGCGCGGAGUGUGAGAAUUUCCUGAAUAAUUUUGCUCACAGUAUUACGCAGUAUGUGAUGAUUCUCAAAGAGCAAUCACAGAAAUGUGGCCCUUUGCCUACUCCAGCUUUGCCUCAAACAUGGGACAAAACACAGAAACUUAGUGAAAUCUGGGACCAAUACAGCACACUAGUCAAAAAGAAGCUGAAAGAUGUUGCUGAGUGCAGCCAUAACAAGAAAAGGAGUGUAAGGCAACUUGAGCCAAAAGGACCCUAAUUGUAUAACUGUGUUACCUCGGACCAGAUUCGACACAGAGUUGAAGCCAGAGGAUGCGUCAUGGUGACAAAGAUGCAAAAGCACUUGGAAUGGACCUAUAGGAAUCAAGCUGCAGUCAACGACGAAGAACUACAAAACCAAGUUAGCAGAACUGAAUCAUAGGCAGCAUAAUGAGGACAUACAUAUUUAUUGGGACAUCAGAUGCUCUUCUAUGGAUUGCUGUUUCACAGCAUUGGUUUCUACAUUUGGGAUUGAGGGUGCUGGUUUUUUUUGGAGCCAGAAUGAUUUGCUGGAUCUCAACAAUAUGUGACGAACUUCCAUUUGGCAGCAACUACAAAUCCUGAAUGUUCCACCAGAAAUAAUCUAGGAAAUGCAAUUUCAGAAUUUAUUUUAUAUAAUACCAUGCUAAUAUUUGCAACAGAGCAAAUGAGGGACGCACAGACUUUUAUUUUUCAUUUCAUUUCAUGUGUGUGGUUCAGUUAUGAAUGAGCUAUUGCAUUCCAGUCACAAGUUUGCGGAUAAGUGGGCUUUCCUAAGCUAUAUCUGUAGCUUACAGCUGCAGAUGUAGCAGCUAUAAGCUAACAUAAACCAUGAAUGACAGCACAUCAUGUUAGAUUUUCUACUCAAAUAUUGAAAUAAUAUGUUCACUGAAAUGUCUUAGAACAGCAAUAUUUUAGCAUUCAAAAACUGAAUUAAAUUAUGUUGCAGGAAAUGUGAAAUUAAUGCAAGAUAUCAAAAUGUUAGAACUAGUUGAGUUCCACAAACUUUUCCUACAUUAAACAGCAAUGGGAACAGUAAAACGUGAAAUGCCCAUUACAAGUAUCCCUAUAGACAAAAGUAGCUGUUCACACCCUGUUUAAUGUGACAUUAGCUUUUAAUAUGGAUGCUAUGGCUCACCAAUAAGGGCGGCAUCGCAUUGGGAGCGUCACAAAAAAAAAAAGACCUGUCAGUUUUGACCUGAACAAGUUUUGUAUUGUUCAUUUGUGAGAGAGUGGGUUAUAGUUGCCCCCUGUAUUGAAUAGUGUAAGCCUGCUAAGCCUUAAACCCCAACUCGACAAUGACUUUAAAGUUUAUACUUAAUUUGCAUGUUCCUAUUAGUGCUAAACUGUGGGAGUACUUCUUACAGUUUAAGGAAUAUUUAAUGGAUUUGUUUAUCUUUGGUUAAACUUUAUAAUUCUACAGUGAAGAGGGGGUCUAUCAAAAGUACAGUUUAAUUACAUUCAUAAAACAUUUGAAAAUACACACAACACAUUGAAAUCUUUUUGCUAUUAUGACCUCCACAGAUUGCACUUUUCAUAUUUUUUUUUUUUACUUGAACUGAAUUAUUUUUUAAACACUGCUUACAAAUUCACAAAUACAGUUCCUCAUUUACCCCAAUAUGCUCAGUUUUCUCAGAAAUAUAGGUAAAAUCCUCCUGUCUUGUCUUGUCACGAGUAAAUGUACGAUAACAACCGUAGAACAUGUGUAUAUACAUUGGCUCAGAAGAGCAGGGUCCCAGAGCUACGACUCACUGUGGUUUCUAUGAGGUGCGAAAGACAAACAUACUAUUGUUUUAGAAUUCAAGACUGAAUUUAGACUGACGGGCUGCCCUGAAGCUACAGUAGUGUGUCUGAUCCUUAAACCAGCUUCAAUAUUUACUCUAACCAUAUAUUGCACAAUCAGCUCAUAGUGCAGCCAAACUUUCACUUAUAGGUUGUUAGUGUGGCCUCCGUCUCAUGGAAACUAAUCUGAAAGGAUUAUGGUUCUCUUAGUUUAUUAUGUGAUCCCCCCUUAAACUGUGACUGGUUUAGACAAAUGAUCAAACCUUUCUGAAUGUGCUUUUGCAGAGCCUUUUAACCUUGUAGUUUAAAGCUAUUGUAAUCAAACUGAGAGGGUAGCGCCCUCUGUAGGUGCUAGAUGAGAAGUGCAAGUGGUCAGAUUUAGACUCAAAAUAUUCAUCAUCUUCAUCACCGUUUGCAAAAGGGUUGGCAUUUAAUCACAUAAAUUGCACUCUGAUGAAGAUCUUAUGUUUUUUUAAGAACACAAAUUAUUUUAAUCUUCAAAUGAUCAAUGUAAUAUGCAGUUUAAAGUGUAAAAGGGAAUGUUUUCUCAAAGUUCAUAACGAGGUGAAAGUCAAAUGUGAAGUAUAUAGCUGCAAAAUGUGAACAAAAACAUUUAUUCUGUAUCUGUACAUAUAAGCCGAAUGUAUUAUAACUUAAAUCAUGGGGAAACGGUCAACAACAUGCCUGGAUAUGAAAAUAAUUUAUCCGUUUUACUUUGGAAUCAAUCCUAAAAUAAUGUGAAAUGCAGCUGAGCGUGUACGGCUUGCAAACGUUAAAAGGCUGUGUUUCACAAACACGUACAGAUUUAUGUGUUAUUUAUUUACUGACGAGGACUUUGGACUAUUUGAACUGGACAUGUACCAUUCUUCUGUAUCACGGACAUGUACCAUUCUUCUGUAUCACUUGGAUCAUCACUUUCAUUAUUAGCGUUGAAAGAACGCGAUUUUUUCAAAAAUAAAAGCUUUAGAAAUUAAAAAGAGAAAUCAAUGUGGACUUUUAUUUUGAUAUUUAAAAAAGUGUCAGCAAGUGCGUUCAGCAAUGUAACCCUCCUAUUGGCCCGACUAACUUCAUCAUAUGACCGAAAGCAACAAGCUGGAAAAUGUGAAAGCAGGAAAUCUCAGGAAAACCCGAGUGGCAAGUACGAAAGUAAAGUUAGAUAGAAUAAAACAGGAAGUUUUGCAUUUAACAAAAUAAAAUAAGCUAUAACCAUA